This 305-nucleotide unclassified non-coding RNA is filed under the name plant metagenome. RNAcentral's name for it is "partial contains 5.8S ribosomal RNA, internal transcribed spacer 2, and large subunit ribosomal RNA". The stretch from base 1 to 105 matches the Rfam family "5.8S ribosomal RNA", at positions 50 to 154 of the family's 154-position model. The record is from RNAcentral.
GAAAUGCGAUAAGUAAUGUGAAUUGCAGAAUUCAGUGAAUCAUCGAAUCUUUGAACGCACAUUGCGCCCGCCAGUAUUCUGGCGGGCAUGCCUGUUCGAGCGUCAUUUCAACCAUCAAGCCCCCGGCUUGUGUUGGGGACCUGUGGCUGCCCGCAGGCCCUGAAAAACAGUGGCGGGCUCGCUGUCACACCGAGCGUAGUAGCAUACAUUCUCGCUCAGGGCGUGCUGCGGGUUCCGGCCGUUAAACGACCUUCAUAACCCAAGGUUGACCUCGGAUCAGGUAGGAAGACCCGCUGAACUUAAGC